CCCCGCUAUCUUUUUUUCAGCCGGUCCAUCAAAGGUCCAGAUCGAAGGCCCCGACAUCAUAGAAAUUGCAAAGAAGUAUAUGUUUGUGUGUUCCGCCCAGUGUCUGCCAUCUUGUCGCUACUUGUUGUCUGUGGACGGUCAGACCGUGAGGGGCAAUGUGAUUGAGAUCAGAGUGGAUCAUCCACUUGAAUCUGUCACUCUCAAGUGCGAGGCACAAAACAUAGCUUCCAGGAGGACGGGCACAGUGUUAAAGACUGCACAAGUUAAAGGGUCAAAUCAAAACCUGUCUGUUCGUCCUGAAGAGACCUCAGCACUGCUGCUGUUGGUCUCCAUGGUGACGGUCUUCUUUACACUGUGAUCCACUGCACACAGGUUCAGGGAUGAAUCAGUGACAAAGAAAUCUUUCUAAGUCUUGGGGAAGUGAUGACUCACACACUCUACAAAUUACUCCUUUGCACUCGCCUCACAUGUUGACAUUGGGCUGAUCCGUGUUUGCACUUUGCAGGGAGUGACGUGGAAAAGGUGCUUGAUAGUGUGGAAACAGGAGCAACCACAUCUGAAGUAAGAAUUGGUUGAAGAUUCAACAACACUAAUUAAGCUGGAAAGUCGAUGCAUAAAUGAAAUGCACUGCCUUUUAUAUCAAGAGUUAUCAGAUUUGUAAAAACACUGUCUCAUCAUUGAAUUAAAGUCUUAAACAGA
Paralichthys olivaceus (Japanese flounder) is the source of this 699-nucleotide non-coding RNA. Lineage: Eukaryota; Metazoa; Chordata; Actinopteri; Pleuronectiformes; Paralichthyidae. The record is from RefSeq and is a predicted model, not a curated record.